Podarcis lilfordi (Lilford's wall lizard) is the source of this 970-nucleotide non-coding RNA. Lineage: Eukaryota; Metazoa; Chordata; Lepidosauria; Squamata; Lacertidae. The record is from the annotation of a GenBank genome assembly.
GGCCAUUGACAGAUCAGUCUUUGCUUGAUUGCUUCUUUGCUGGCUCAUGUCAAGCUUCAGGGAAUCCAAUCCCGCCCCUCACAGUUGGCUGCCAGUAACAGAUAGACAAGAAGUUCUUACGUUGCCUCUCAUUAAUGGCGUUGCUCCAAGUAUGUUCCUCCCCCCUUCCCUUCUCAGCCAUCAACAGCCCCACCUACCCCCUUACAGUGUCUGCUUAUGGACAAUUGCCUCUGAGCUCUCUUCUCUCCUACUUUCAUUGCUUGCCGGGUCCUGGGAGAAGGGGGGGUCUGGAAUGCUCUCUAGUGAUAACGUGUCAGCCAGCUGCUCCUGCUCUGCUUCUCCCAUUAUCUCCCAGAUUUGCCCCUCUUCUAUCUCUGAGCUGUGACCCGCUGCAAACCACCUUUGUAAAUCUAUACUGUCCUCAGGAAGGAUCAGGAGGGGGAGGCGGCCCCCACCAUUCCUCCUCCGAUGUCCAAUCCCUGACCCUUCAUGAUAUAGAUUCUCUAGGUGAUAUACAAUAAGUUAAAUCAAAUAAUUUAAAAAUUUAUCAUUAAUACAGAUUCACACUAAAAGUCAAAGGAGAACGAUAGAAUAAAACAUGGUCCUACACAACUCAUUUUACACAUGUGAAGAGAUAGAGCCACACUGGAAAUCUAACCAUCAAAAUGACUGAUCCCUCCUUCUCCCUGAUCCCUAUACACAGCUAGGUGCAUAUGGGAAGAGGUAUUCCUUCAGGUACCAAGAUACCAAGCCAUAAAAGGCUUUAUUGGGCCCAGAAGGAAACUGGAAGCCAGUGAAAGUGACAAAGGACCCAUGUAAUAUGUUCAUAAUGCCUGUCCCCAGCCAAGACCUCUUACCGUCGUAUUGUAUUCAAUUGUCUUAGCCUCCCCCCUCUGCCCUUUAAAGCCAUCUAAAUUAGUGUCCAAUACCACAUGGAGGUGAAUUCUGUCAAUAACUCUUUUUCUGUCUU